AGUGAACGCUGGCGGCAUGCCUAACACAUGCAAGUCGAACGACAGCACAGGAAGCUUUUUCUCUUACCGUUGGCGAGGGGCGGAUGGGUGAGACGUACAUCACAAUCUACUUUUUCUGGGAUGACAACGUGAGGAAACAUACGCUAAUACCUCAUAUGAUCAACGGCUUAGAUCAGUAGAUCUUCAGAGCUUUCGCGAUUCAAUUAGCUGAUGUCGGAUUAGCUAGUUGGCAUGGUAAAGGCACACCAAGGCAACGAUCCGUAGCCGAUCUGAGAGGAUGAUCAGCCACACUGGAACUGAGACACGGUCCAGACUCCUACGGGAGGCAGCAGUGGGGAAUAUUGCACAAUGGGCGAAAGCCUGACCGAGCCACACCGCGUGGGUGAAGAAGGCCUUCGGGUUGUAAAGCCCUUUUAUUAGGAAAGAACAGCUGUGGGUGAAUAUCUGCCUGUUCUGACGGUACCCAAACAGUAAGCCCCGGCUAACUUCGUG
RNAcentral lists this ribosomal RNA (492 nucleotides) under uncultured bacterium. RNAcentral's name for it is "partial 16S ribosomal RNA". It matches the Rfam family "Bacterial small subunit ribosomal RNA", at positions 29 to 507 of the family's 1533-position model. The record is from RNAcentral.